AGAGUUUGAUCCUGGCUCAGGAUGAACGCUGGCGGCGUGCCUAAUACAUGCAAGUCGAGCGAACGGACGAGAAGCUUGCUUUUCUGAUGUUAGCGGCGGACGGGUGAGUAACACGUGGAUAACCUACCUAUAAGACUGGGAUAACUUCGGGAAACCGGAGCUAAUACCGGAUAAUAUUUUGAACCGCAUGGUUCAAAAGUGAAAGACGGUCUUGCUGUCACUUAUAGAUGGAUCCGCGCUGCAUUAGCUAGUUGGUAAGGUAACGGCUUACCAAGGCAACGAUGCAUAGCCGACCUGAGAGGGUGAUCGGCCACACUGGAACUGAGACACGGUCCAGACUCCUACGGGAGGCAGCAGUAGGGAAUCUUCCGCAAUGGGCGAAAGCCUGACGGAGCAACGCCGCGUGAGUGAUGAAGGUCUUCGGAUCGUAAAACUCUGUUAUUAGGGAAGAACAUAUGUGUAAGUAACUGUGCACAUCUUGACGGUACCUAAUCAGAAAGCCACGGCUAACUACGUGCCAGCAGCCGCGGUAAUACGUAGGUGGCAAGCGUUAUCCGGAAUUAUUGGGCGUAAAGCGCGCGUAGGCGGUUUUUUAAGUCUGAUGUGAAAGCCCACGGCUCAACCGUGGAGGGUCAUUGGAAACUGGAAAACUUGAGUGCAGAAGAGGAAAGUGGAAUUCCAUGUGUAGCGGUGAAAUGCGCAGAGAUAUGGAGGAACACCAGUGGCGAAGGCGACUUUCUGGUCUGUAACUGACGCUGAUGUGCGAAAGCGUGGGGAUCAAACAGGAUUAGAUACCCUGGUAGUCCACGCCGUAAACGAUGAGUGCUAAGUGUUAGGGGGUUUC
RNAcentral lists this ribosomal RNA (844 nucleotides) under Staphylococcus aureus W25097. RNAcentral describes it as "bacterial SSU rRNA". It matches the Rfam family "Bacterial small subunit ribosomal RNA", at positions 8 to 834 of the family's 1533-position model. Lineage: Bacteria; Bacillati; Bacillota; Bacilli; Caryophanales; Staphylococcaceae. The record is from RNAcentral.